Molecule: small RNA, 29 nt
Filed under: Bombyx mori (domestic silkworm)
Lineage: Eukaryota; Metazoa; Arthropoda; Insecta; Lepidoptera; Bombycidae
Description: ovarian small RNA-35210
Source: RNAcentral
UGGUUCAAAUUCAUUGGCCACGCCAUCAU